This 466-nucleotide ribosomal RNA is filed under the name uncultured bacterium. Its description in RNAcentral is "partial 16S ribosomal RNA". It matches the Rfam family "Bacterial small subunit ribosomal RNA", at positions 28 to 507 of the family's 1533-position model. The record is from RNAcentral.
GAUGAACGCUGGCGGCGUGCCUAACACAUGCAAGUCGAACGAUGAAGCCCAGCUUGCUGGGUGUAGUAGUGGCGAACGGUUGAGUAAGACGUGAGUACCCUGCCCUUAAUUUUGGGAUAAGCCCCGGCAACUGGGCCUAAUACCGGAUAGGCGCGUUCACCGCAUGGUGGGUGUUGGAAUGAUCUAUCGGUUUUGGAUGGCCUCGCGGCCUAUCAGCUUUUUGGUGAGGUAAUGGCACACCACGGCGUCGACGGGUAGCCGGCCUGAGAGGGUGACCGGCCACACUGGGCCUGAGACACGGACCAGACUCCUACGGGGGGCAGCAGUGGGGAAUAUUGCACAAUGGGCUCGAGCCUGAUGCAGCGACGCCGCGUGAGGGAUGACGGCCUUCGGGUUGUAAACCUCUUUCAGUAGGGAAGAAGCGAAAGUGACGGUACCUGCACAGGAAGCCCCGGCUAACUACGUG